GUGAGCGCGCCCGGGCGCACACACGCGCGACAGCAGCGCGCGGCGCGAGUGUGAUGCGAGCGCGCCGCGAGCCAUGGCCACGCUCGGCCUCUCCAAGGUGUUCAUCCUCGACAAAUACUUCACUGAGCUGCAGAAGUUCUGGGAGACGGAGAAGAAGUUGCAAGACGCGUCGUCAUCGAACGAGGCGGUGCACCUGCAGCGGCGGCUGCUGAGCCUCAGCUCGGAGCUGGUGACGCUCCGCAACCACCUGCACGUGGGCGCGGCGGGGGCGGCGGGGGCGGCGGGCGCCGGGCCGCCCGCGGGCAAGCCCGGCACGCCGCAGCCCGCCGUGCCGCCGCGGGCCCCGCACCACCCCGCGCCGCCGCAGCCGCCACACCCGCCACACCCGCCGCCGCCAGACACUCGAUGGCGGAGCUCAGCGGCGGCGCCGACGGCCAGCACCGCAUGCACCGGCACGGUAGCAGGCGCGGGGUCGGCGCCGACGGCGGGCGGCGUCGGCGCCGACGUGGACGACCUCAUCCACCUGCGCGGCCCACUCACUGAGGACGCCGUGGUGCGCGCGCUGCAGGCGCGCUUCUAUCACAAUAAGUUUUACACGUGGAUAGGUCCGAUCCUGGUGGCGGUGAACGGGUACACGGACGCGGGCAACGCGCUGACGCUGACGGCGGCGCGGGCGCAGCGGCCCGAGCUGGCGCGGCUCGUGCACACCGCCGUGCGCCACCAGGCCGACACCGGCUACCCGCAGGCCAUCAUACUCUCCGGCGUGUCGGGGUCGGGCAAGACGUACGCGUCGAUGGUGCUGCUGCGGCGGCUGUUCGACGUGGCGGGCGGCGGGCCCGAGACCGACGCCUUCAAGCACCUCGCGGCCGCCUUCACCGUGCUGCGCGCGCUCGGCGCCGCCGCCACGCCCAACAACACGCACUCCUCGCGCAUCGGCCACUUCAUCGAGGUGCAGGUGACGGACGGUGCGCUGUACCGCACCAAGAUCCACUGCUACUUCCUGGACCAGACGCGCGUGGUGCGGCCGCCGGCCGGGGAGCGCAACUACCACAUCUUCUACCAGCUGCUGGCGGGACUCACGCCCGACGAGCGCGCGCAGCUGCACCUCGAGGGGUACUCCGCCCAAGACCUCAGGUACCUCGCGUCCCCCCAACACCGGCGGCCCGACCCCGAGGACGCGGCCCGCUUCCACGCGUGGAAGACGUGCCUCGGCAUCCUCGGCAUCCCGUUCCUGGACGUGGUGCGCGUGCUGGCGGCCGUGCUGCUGCUGGGCAACGUGCAGUUCUCGGAGGGCGCGGAGGGCGGCGCGGAGCCGGCGGGCGAGGCGGAGCUGGCGGCGGCGGGCGCGCUGCUGGGCGUGCCGGCGCCGGCGCUGCUGCGCGGCCUCAGCACGCGCGUGGCCCCGCGGCCCGCGGCGCCGCGCCCGCCGCCGCGCCUGCCCGCCACGCCGGCCGCGGCCGCCGCCGCGCGCGACGCGCUGGCCAAGGCGCUGUACUGCCGCACGGUGGCCACCAUCGUGCGCCGCGCCAACUCGCUCAAGCGGCUCGGCUCCACGCUGGGCACGCUGUCGUCGGACUCCAACGAGUCGGUGCACAACCAGGACGCGGCGUCGCGGCGCGCGUCCACGGCGGGCGGGCGCGGCCGCGCCGGCGCCAAGUCCAUGGCGGUGCUCAACGACGCCGUGCGCCACGCCACCGACGGCUUCGUCGGCAUCCUCGACAUGUUCGGCUUCGAGGACGCGGCGCCCAGCCGGCUCGAGCACCUCUGCGCCAACCUCUGCGCGGAGACCAUGCAGCACUUUUAUAACACGCACGUCUUCAAGUCUUCCGCCGAGUCGUGUCGCGAAGAGGGAGUCGCUUGCGCACUCGAAGUGGACUACGUGGACAACGUGCCGUGUAUCGACCUGGUGUCGUCGCUGCGGGGCGGGCUGCUGGCGGCCCUGGACGCGGAGUGCGCGGCCCGCGGCACGCCCGACCAGUACGUCGCUCGGAUCAAAGCCGCGCACCGCGGCCACCCGCGGCUGUGCGAGGCGCGCCCGCCGCACGCGCGGCGCUUCGCCGUGCGCCACUACUGCGGCGAGGUGGCGUACGACGCCAGCGACUUCCUCGAGGCCAACCGCGACACCGUGCCCGACGACCUGCUCGCCGCCUUCGACUCGCGCGCCUGCGAGUUCGGCUUCGCUACGCAUCUCUUUGGAGCUGAGCUUAAGGCGCUGGCGGCGCAGGGCGGGCCUGUGGGCGCGCAGUUCCGCGCCUCGCCCACGGUGGCGGCCGCGCUGCACGACGCGCCCGCCUCCACGCUCACGCAGGACUUCCACACGCGCCUCGACAACCUGCUGCGCACGCUCGUGCACGCGCGGCCGCACUUCGUGCGCUGCCUGCGCGCCAACAACACCGAGACGCCCAUGCUCUUCGAACGGGCCACUAUCGCCAAACAGGUGCGUGCGCUGCAGAUCCUAGAGACGGCGCAGCUGAUGGCGAGCGGGUACCCGCACCGCAUGCGCUUCCGCGCGUUCUCGGGGCGCUACCGCGCGCUGUGGCGGCGCGGCGCCGAGCGGGACGCGCCCGCCGCCUGCGCCGCCGUGCUGCGGGCCGUGCAGGCGGCCGCCGCGCCGCCCGCGCCCGCCUCGCCCGCCGCCGUGCGCGGGGCGCUCGGCUCCAGGCACGUGUUCCUCAGCGAGGGCAUGCGCCAGGUGCUGGAGCGCAUGCGGCGCGAGCGGCGCCAGGCGGCCGCCGAGUGCAUCCAGGCGGCGUGGCGGCGCCAGCGGGCCGGCCGCGCCCGCGGGCCCGCCGCGGCGCCGCCCGCGCCCGCCGCGCGGCCCCGCCCCGCGCCCAUCGCCGGCACGCCGCCGCCCGACCCCCAGGACAAGUGCGACCCCGCCCUCGUCAAGAAGACCUGCUCUCUCUUCGGCUUGGAUCUGGAGCGGCCGCCGCCGCUGCCGCCGCCGCGCGCGUACACCGUGGCGGGCGGCGUGAAGCUGGGCUACCCGCAGCAGCGCACGGUGCGCGUGGAGUGGGCGGAGGAGGCGGGCGGCGCGCGGCUGCGCGCGGGCGACACGGUGCUGGCCGUGGGCGCGGCGCGGCGCGGGCUGGUGUGCGUGCAGCUGGGCGCGCGCACGCUGGCCGUGCCGCACCGCGUGCUGGCGCCGCCGCGCGCGCCGCUGCGCCCGCAGCCGCCGCCGCCCGCGCCCCCCGCGCCGCCCGCGCCGCCGCCCGCGCCCGCCAAUUCAUUGUAACUGUAAAUAGUAGCAUGCUAAGUAUUUAUAACAAUGCAUCCUGCACCUACUCGGAAAGUGGCUCCUUCCUUUUUAAAAGUACGGCACUGACACGUAAAUAAGCGAGAAUAAAGAAAAAUAUUGUACCGCCUUUUUAUUUUUGUGGCAUCAGCAAACUUCAUUUAAAAAUAAAAAAAUGGCGGCAGCGUGUCACGCGUGGCUGUAUGUACACUUUAAAUAAAAAAGAUUAUAUUUUUUAAGAUUACAAUCGCUCGCGUCUCUCGAUACUAUUAUUGUUGUAGUUAUUUUCCUUGUAGGUGUAAAGGUGUAAAUCACUCGGGAGAAAGUACCUACAUAGGUACGAGUCCCAACUCAUGUGUUCUACACCCUCGUUGGUAUUCGGUCACUUUCUUCCCUUGUCGAACAAUGUACAGUCGCUCACGAUGUUUUAUAUAGAGGUGCUUACCAUAAUUAUUUGUUAUAAGUAUUUGAAAGAUUAAUUAAAUCCAACGAUAAUCACCACCUUAAAACGUGACUUAACCUUUGAUCUGUGUGUGAUAAGGAUCCUGACUACCCCUCUCGUAUGUGUGUGAUUAGGAUCCUGACCCAUAGGACUGGUACCUAUUUUUACGUAAUUAUCCACUUUAAUUCUAUCGCAAAAGGUUUAAUGUUGUGUUUUGAACAAAAUUGAAUAAAUGAUCUAUCAUAGACAAUCAUCAUUCGGAUGAAAUGUUCAAUAGUUCCGCUAAAAAAAUCGGUUGAAAUUCCGUCUCGACCAGUGAUACUUCAACUACCAAAAGUGAAUACUAAAAGUGAAAAAUAAGCUGAAAAUUGUUAAAAAAGAUAAAAUGGAUUUAACAAAUCCUUCAGCUCCGUCAACUUCACGGCCUCUUAUCUUUGCGAUGCUCGUCCAGGCGACGCCACAAGGAUCACUGCACCCUUAUUAGUCAUAAUACGGCUCUUAUAAGAAUAAUAUUUUGGUCAUAUAAACCAUAAUAAGAACAGUUGUUUUUGAUUGUAUAUGAAUAAAUGAUUAACAUGUAGAUAUUAUCUCUUAAUCUAACUAAAGUGAAAUCUAAAUAAUAAAAAAAAUACCUAUUAGACAUAUUUCAUUUUCACACCUUACCUGAACAAAAAUAAAACAUCCUAUAUAUGUGUCAGGAUCCUAAUCAUACACAGACUACCGUUCAACAAACGAGUCAGGAUCCGUAUCAUACACAGACGACUGUUCAACAACCAAGUCAGGAUCCGUAUCAUACACAGACGACUGUUCAAGAACCGAGUCAGGAUCCUUAUCAUACACAGACAACUGAAUGACGAAAUACACUCACACAAGCGCAGAUAUUAUUGAGCGAUUUUUUUGCCAUUCCAAAAUUUUUUGUCAUAUUGUUUUCAUAAAAUUGAUCAAUAUAAAGCGAUAUAAGUAUGUAGUGUGAUAUGUCUUUACAAAGCUCUAUUUUUCUAGUUUAUGGUCAUAUCCUUUGAUUUUGACUAUGACUUUUGCCACAAACAAUAAUUGACUGCAUAUUAUUGGUGCAAGUGAAUUUUUGAUCAAACUUCGUAUUCAAGCAGCUCGUAUUUUAUUUACAAGUAAUUUCGAGGCUUGUGUUAUUGUUCAUAAACAAGGAAAUAUAUCUAGCUUUAGUAAUCAAUCGCUUUAUUAUAACGUUCCAUGCACAAAAAGUGAAAUUUACAUCAUAAACUGAAUGCUGGCGAAACUCGUAAAAAUUUUGGAAUGGCUUCCACAGACAGGGGGGUAAUUUUUUGACAGCGCUGCCACAGACUAAAGGUUAAUGAUAUAGCAGGUACUUCUUUGUCUAUUUAAAACCACAAAAUAAAGAAAAUGAAAUGCAAUCAAAUACAAUAUAUACAAGUAGAUAAGUACCUACCGAAUAGUUUUCACCUUUAAAUGAAAACCUUCGAACAAGUUCCCGUUUCUUCGAAAUAUCUAUCGCCCUGUUUGCUUGAGGCGACAAGACAGUAUAUUUCGAGCAAAUGUUUACUUACCUUCUGUUCUCACCUAAUUGCCAUCAAAUAACAUCUGAUCGAAAUAUUCGCGUGAUGUGACCUUCUUACCGUGAUGUAAUGUGAUGACACUAAUCCUGAAGCUACUAUGUCUGCUAAAUUCUGGCCUCCUUGACAACAUGACAGUGGGUAGCUUGAGGUUAAUGUGUUAUGGACGUCGACCAGCGGACAUUUACGUUACACAUCGAGAGUACCCUGUGCGCGCUGACUGACAUGCACGAUGAAUAAACAACACCUGUUUACUUACGUAUCGCUUUUACCUACUUUAUAAGUAGAUGCGGAAGAUAACAUUACGAGGGUUCGUGAGGGGCUGAGGUGCCUGCUUAUUGUGUACGUGAACAUUGGAUAUUUGUUUAGAGUUUAUAAUUUCACCAAUUUAUUUAAGUUAGAUAUAAAGACAAUCCCUUCAUUGCACACGCUAGAAGAGAUAAACUAUACUUACUGUGCGCAGGAUUACUGCGUGAAGCAGCUCCCAUCAGUAUUAUAGUGUGCAGGGUGCAGUGCAAUGCAGGACGUGUAGAGACCGCGGCCACAGCGACCCAACAUGAGUCUGAUUAAAUAUAUUACAAUAUCAUACGGCAACCUAUAGAUAUAUCUAUGUUAUUAGAAUAAGGUACAAAA
Molecule: unclassified non-coding RNA, 5860 nt
Filed under: Pectinophora gossypiella (pink bollworm)
Lineage: Eukaryota; Metazoa; Arthropoda; Insecta; Lepidoptera; Gelechiidae
Description: unconventional myosin-IXb
Source: RNAcentral